RNAcentral lists this ribosomal RNA (483 nucleotides) under uncultured bacterium. RNAcentral describes it as "partial 16S ribosomal RNA". It matches the Rfam family "Bacterial small subunit ribosomal RNA", at positions 30 to 507 of the family's 1533-position model. The record is from RNAcentral.
UUGAACGCUGGCGGCCGGCCUAACACAUGCAAGUCGCGCGGAUGAAGGGAGCUUGCUCCUGGAUUCAGCGGCGGACGGGUGAGUAAUGCCUAGGAAUCUGCCUGGUAGUGGGGGAUAACGUCCGGAAACGGGCGCUAAUACCGCAUACGUCCUGAGGGAGAAAGUGGGGGAUCUUCGGACCUCACGCUAUCAGAUGAGCCUAGGUCGGAUUAGCUAGUUGGUGGGGUAAAGGCCUACCAAGGCGACGAUCCGUAACUGGUCUGAGAGGAUGAUCAGUCACACUGGAACUGAGACACGGUCCAGACUCCUACGGGAGGCAGCAGUGGGGAAUAUUGGACAAAGGGCGAAAGCCUGAUCCAGCCAUGCCGCGUGUGUGAAGAAGGUCUUCGGAUUGUAAAGCACUUUAAGUUGGGAGGAAGGGCAGUAAGUUAAUACCUUGCUGUUUUGACGUUACCAACAGAAUAAGCGCCGGCUAACUUCGUG